UACGUAGGGUGCGAGCGUUGUCCGGAAUUAUUGGGCGUAAAGAGCUCGUAGGCGGUCUGUCGCGUCGGUCGUGAAAACUUGGGGCUUAACCCUGAGCUUGCGGUCGAUACGGGCAUGACUGGAGUUCGGCAGGGGAGACUGGAAUUCCUGGUGUAGCGGUGAAAUGCGCAGAUAUCAGGAGGAACACCAGCGGCGAAGGCGGCGCUCUGGGCCGGUACUGACACUGAGGAGCGAAAGCGUGGGGAGCAAACAGG
This 254-nucleotide ribosomal RNA is filed under the name uncultured bacterium. Its description in RNAcentral is "partial 16S ribosomal RNA". It matches the Rfam family "Bacterial small subunit ribosomal RNA", at positions 524 to 776 of the family's 1533-position model. The record is from RNAcentral.